AGAUGGCGACCGGCGCACGGGUGAGUAACACGUAUCCAACCUGCCGAUAACUCGGGGAUAGCCUUUCGAAAGAAAGAUUAAUACCCGAUGGUAUAAUCAGACCGCAUGGUCUUGUUAUUAAAGAAUUUCGGUUAUCGAUGGGGAUGCGUUCCAUUAGGCAGUUGGUGAGGUAACGGCUCACCAAACCUUCGAUGGAUAGGGGUUCUGAGAGGAAGGUCCCCCACAUUGGAACUGAGACACGGCCCAA
RNAcentral lists this ribosomal RNA (247 nucleotides) under uncultured bacterium. RNAcentral describes it as "partial 16S ribosomal RNA". It matches the Rfam family "Bacterial small subunit ribosomal RNA", at positions 86 to 334 of the family's 1533-position model. The record is from RNAcentral.